UCUCAAGCGUGAGGUAAGGGCAAUUCGUGGAUGCCUUGGCAUGUACAGGCGAUGAAGGACGUGGCACGCUGCGAUAAGCGCGGGUGAGCUGUGAGCAAGCUUUGACCCCGCGAUUUCCGAAUGGGGAAACCCACCUAUCCCGAUUAAUCCGAACUGUGUGG
RNAcentral lists this ribosomal RNA (161 nucleotides) under Sphingomonas sp. CFBP 13733. RNAcentral's name for it is "partial 23S ribosomal RNA". It matches the Rfam family "Bacterial large subunit ribosomal RNA", at positions 1 to 158 of the family's 2925-position model. Lineage: Bacteria; Pseudomonadati; Pseudomonadota; Alphaproteobacteria; Sphingomonadales; Sphingomonadaceae. The record is from RNAcentral.